Long non-coding RNA from Dreissena polymorpha, 5020 nucleotides. RefSeq lists it as uncharacterized. The record is from RefSeq and is a predicted model, not a curated record. The transcript has 19 exons. NCBI's taxonomy places the organism in Eukaryota, Metazoa, Mollusca, Bivalvia, Myida, Dreissenidae.
GGCAUUUCCACGGAGACUCUGCGGAUUAGUGGGAACACAGUGAUUCGAGAUGCAGUUAAGCCCAAGAUAAGGUACAUGUAUAUAAGGAUUUUGUAAAAUCCGGGACAUUUGACAGAUUUCCGGGACUGCGGGACACGUUCUUCAUUUCCGGGACAAUCACGGACAAUCCGUGACGUAUGGUAUGUAUGGCUUCCACCUACAACUUUGAAACCUCAUAUGUAGAUGCACCUUGAUGAGCUCUACAUGUUACAAUCAUUUUGGGGUCACUAGGUCAAAGAUCAAGGUCACUGUGACCUCUAAAAUAAAUAAUAAAAAAAUCUGACAAGCUUUCAUUUAUUCAAAACUGCACCCGUAGCCGAGCAUGGCACACGUUAUGGGGUGCUCUUGUUACAUAUUAUUAUUAAUGAGAAUGAUUGUAUCUAUUGGAAUAUUUCCAGAGAUGUAACUGACCUAUGCAAUUUGGUCCAUCAGGUCAGUCCAGACACCGAGGCUGUCUUUUUAGAAGUGCUUCUUCGGUGUGAAGAUUAUAGAAAAGGUUUUUGGAUACCAGAAGGACGUCUUCCUGCCAUACAGAAAAGGAUUAAAGGAGCCAACUCACUUCUACAGGACUACUGUCCUAAGGUGGUGGUUGUCUGCGAGGAAAGAAAACGUCAACGAACACCAAUUUUAGGCCAGAAGGAGAACUUGCCCGGACAGUUGCAGUGGAAGUGAAGGCUUCAAAUAUCUGUGGAACAUACCUGAAGAAGAGGAAAGAAGUUGCACGAUCCUGCAGACAAAAGAACCCACUUGCAUGUUGUCCUUUGUUGAUGAAGCUGUAAAAGGAGGCACACAUUGGGUGUCCAGAAUGCAGGGUUGUUUGCUCCAACGAAGAUGCUUUGCUCAGCAACUUCUGCAUUCGCCACAUCUAGAACAUUCGAACAUUUCCCACCCACCAUGUGGAUGAAGAUGUUUGGACUGAUGAUUCUGGGGCAUAUGUGUGGACAAUGUGGUCUUCAUUACAGCAUGAUGCAGCUGCGUAUUCAACAAUAUGUCAACCUGCCCUAGCGGAUGUUGAUGCUCUCAAAUGAUGUUGAGAAAAACCCAGGACCGUUUGUGGAGAACUACUUGGCAGGGAAGUCCCUGCAAUUUUCUUGGACAAGGAAUGAUGUGGAGGAAAAGAGAAAUCAGAUUGCACAGUCAUCGACUGCUUUCAGCCGCGAAGAGGCUGUCUGGUUCCAGGAUUGAACCCAUUGCAGAUUUCAGGAGAAUGCAUCAGAUGUUCAACAACUGCAAGAAGGUGGUGGUAAACCUUGCAGAGAAGAGCUGAAAAAUAUGACAACCAGCACUCCCACAACAACCAUCAUGCCAACCACCGUUUCACAGACUGACAUCUUCACAGAAGAAGAGGCCACGCUCCCUAUUCAGCAGCAACUGCUCCCUCAGCAAGGCUCGGUGGUGAAAGGAGCCGGGUAGGUCCACAGGGUCAUACCCACCCAAGAGACCCUAAGUGUUGAGUCUGUGAGUGACCCCUCUAUGGGCCAGUCAGAUUCUGGCUUCAUCGAGCCCCAACAGUCAAACUCCCGAGAGACAACCGUAACCUCCAUCCAGCAAUCCGCUAAGAGGAUGAGAGAUGAGAGUCCUGGUGAUGAUGCCGGUGUGAAGAGGUCAAAAGUAGCAGUUGCUGAGCAUCCCCUGCAAGGGUCCCAGACAUCACGAUAACGGACAAGUCCAGUCAGCCAGAUCACAGGGAGAUCCAGUGGGCAGAGGUCGCACACACCCAGCAGGUGGAAGUGGAACCGGAGGAGGAGGGGGAACCAGACAUAUUCCCAUCACAGGAAGCUCUGGACAUGGAAACAGCCACACAACAGAGACAUUUAUCAUUCUACUACCCACAGGCUACAUCGAAACAACCUAAAAUGGACUGUGUCUGUGUUUAUGACAAUGAAGUGGAAGGGAGCUUGUGGUGUUGCAAGGUAUGCAAACAGCAGCAACAUCAGUGUGUCCAAGCUGCAGGUCAUUUGACAGAACUUUGUCCUGUAUGCGACAAGGAGCUUCAGAAUGUGAUUGUACGUUUGCAAGACAUUGUCAAAUGUGACAAACAAGUAUGGUUCAAGGGGAGAUUCAAGACAGAAUUUCAAAUCAGCUUUUGAAACGAUACAAUAAUCCCAAAAUCUACAUCGAACACAUGAUGAUUUGUCUUACGAAAGAGGCUUCUGCGUUGCUGCUGUCAUGGCUAUAUUGUAAGCAGUAUGAUAUAAUUUACCAGGAAUGUUGGAAGACAGAACGAACAUCACCACGAGGCCACAUCACGACAGCCAUUGUGCCAGACUGCAUGUCUCUAGCAGCUUGUGUUAACUGUUUGGGUUAUAUUAUUAUCUACUGGCUUAUUUUAUAGAUUAUUUGUUAUUGGAACUUGAGUGCCAGACGUAUGACUAGCUAUUAGUGAGGUUUUUAAUGAAGCUGUGCACGUUAGAUUGUGAAUUGUUAUGAGAACUUUAUUUCAAAAGAUAUGGCUAUGACUGGCUGUUAGUUAGAAGUUUUGGAAUGAAGCUGUGCACAUUAGAUUGUGAAUUGUUAUGAGAACUUAAGUGCAAACGAUAUGCCUAUGACUAUCUGUUAGAAGUUUUUUGUAUGCAUUUUAUUAUGAAUUGUUAAGGGAACUCAAGUGCCAGACCUAUGAUUAGGUACUAGUGACAUUCUAAUGAAGCUGUUAGUUUGAAGUUUUGUAAUGAAAUUGUACACAGAUUGUGAAUUGUUAUGAGAUAUUUAGUGUGUGAACUAUGUCUAGCUAUUAGUGAGAAGAUUUCUAAUGAAACAAUACAUUAGAUUGUGAAAUGUUAUAUAUCAACUUUUCUGCCAGACCUAUGACUAGCUAUGAGUGAAAAGAAUUCUUAUGAAAUUUUACACAUUAUAUUGUGAAUUGUUAAAACAACUUUUGUGCCAGAUAUAUUAUUAGCUAUUAGUUAGAUUUAUAUGAAAAAGUACACAUUAUUUUUGUUAAUUGUUAACAGAACUUUGGUGCAAGACCAAUGCCUGUCUAUAAGUGUUAUGAUUUCUUAUGAAACUGUACACAUUAGUUCUUAAACUGUUAAGAUAAUUUUUGUGAGAGGAGUAUGUUUAUGAAUGUUUUUGAAUAUCUUAACUGGUAAAGUAUUUCUAAGCAUGAAGUGCAGAUGUUCAAGACGCACUUUCCAUGUGCGCUGAAUCACAGAGGACAGAGUUAUGGACAAAUAAUUACAACUUCUGUCACUUUCAUAUGAAUGCUCUAUUCUGAUUGGAUAAUUUGUUCAUGUGACUGGUUUUUCAUUUUCAUUUUUUGAUGAACCCACCUUUUAUGCAAAUUUAAACAUGAAUAAUCAUGGCGCUACUUUCUGGUCAUAAACAAGUUGCCAAAAUGACAUUAUGUUUUCCGCAAAACUUAAUGGUGUUUUUUAUUGGUCAAUAGUGAAGUGACAUUAUAUUUUGUGCGCGAUGAAACCGAAAUUGAAAAUAGUUUCAUACGCUAGAUUAAAAAGGACUUUUAUGACCCUUACCACGAUAGAAUUUCAGCUUUAAGAUAAAUUUGUGUUGUAAUUACGUUGGUGUUUAUGCAAAUUAGGCGUAAUUUUUCCAACAGUUCAUACACUGAUGAAAUGCGGAAAAAUGAUAUUCAAUUCUUAAGUAAAUUUUUACAUAAUUUAUGCCUUUUCCCCACCUCAUGGUAACUUAGUGGAGCAAGCUUCUGUUUUUUUAAGUGACAAAUUUUGUACCUCGUCAUAAGCUUGCAGUGAAGAUAUGCGAGACACAAUUUUUUUGUGAAUUUAUUGACAUAUCCCAAACCUAUGCUCUUAUUCCUAAGUGAGUCAGUUAAUUUCAUCCCAGUCAAAACUGUCUCUCGGGUAUUUUUAGUGAUUGGUGACAAAGCAAAGCCAAAGUAUCAAUAGAUAUGCAAAUGAGCCUAAUAUGUCACUUAAAUUCAGCUUUGAUUUGCCUUUGUAUUUUUAUUUGAUAUUGCAAUGUUUAAUGCCUUCUGAUGCUUGUUUUUGAUAUUUUUUUAGCUUACUUGAGCACAUUGACGUUGUUUCGCGCGAUAGAAUUACGUCAAUAUCUCCAAGGUCAAGGUCACACUUAGAGUUCAAAGGUCUAAAAUGGCCAUAAAUGAGCUUGUCCAGGCCAUAACUAUGUCAUUCAUUGUGAGAUUUUAAAAUCAUUUGGCACAUUUGUUCACCAUUAUUGGACGGUGUGUCGCAUGAAAGAAUUAAGUUACUAACUCCAAGGUGAGGGUCACACUUAGAGUUCAAAGGUCAAAAAUGGCAAUAAAUGAGCUUGUCCAGGCCAUAACUAUGUCUUUCAUUGUGAGAUUUUAAAUCAUUUGGCACAUUUGUUCACCAUUAUUGGAAGGUGUGUCAUGCGAAAGAAUUAUGUCGAUAUCUCCAAGGUCAAGGUCACACUUUGAGUUCAAAGGAAUAAAAAAAUGGCCAUAAAUGCGCGCUUGUCCGGGCCAUAACUAUGUCAUUCAUUGUGAGAUUUUAAAUAAAUUGGUACAUUUGUUCACUAUCAUUGGACGGUGUGUCAUGCCAAAGAAUUGUCGAUAUCUGCAACGUCAAGGUCACACUUUGAGUUCAAAGGUCAAAAAUAACCAUAAAUGAGCUUGUCCGGGCCAUAACUACAUGUAUGUCAUUUAUUGUGAGAUUGAAAAUUACUCUGUACAUUUGUUCACAAUCAUAAGACGGUGUGUCAUGCGAAAGAAUUACGUCAAUAUCUCCAAGGUCAAGGUCACACUUGGAGUUCAAAGACAAAAUUGGCCAUAAAUGAGCUUGUCCGGGCCAUACUUAUGUCAUUCAUUGUGAGAUUUGAAAAUUACUUGGUACACGUCUGUGACAAAGCUCUAGUUAUAAAUAUUUAAUUUUUUUAAACCAGGUUUUGUGACAAUUUUGUCCCUUGUUUAAUUUUAAUCAACUAAUAAAUGAAAUUUCAUUACUGUAUUUCAAUAUGACCUUUUUUCCUAGUAUUGUUGUUUUAUACCAUGUUCAUCUUAUGUCUAAUUUAAAAUGUGUUGUAA